AUUGAACGCUAGCGGGAUGCCUUACACAUGCAAGUCGAACGGCAGCGCGGACUUCGGUCUGGCGGCGAGGUGGCGGAACGGGUGAGUAAUGUAUCGGAACGUCGCCCAGUAGGCGGGGGAACAACCACUACGAAAGAGUGGCUAAUACCGCAUACGCCCGUACGGGGAAAGGGGGGGAUCGAAAGACCUCUCACUAUUGGAGCGGCCGAUAUCGGAUUAGCUAGUUGGCGGGGUAAAGGCCUACCAAGGCGACGAUCCGUAGCUGGUUUGAGAGGACGACCAGCCACACUGGGACUGAGACACGGCCCAGACUCCUACGGGAGGCAGCAGUGGGGAAUUUUGGACAAUGGGGGAAACCCUGAUCCAGCCAUUCCGCGUGUGCGAUGAAGGCCUUCGGGUUGUAAAGCACUUUUGGCAGGAAAGAAAUCGUGUGGGUUAAUACCCUGCGCGGAUGACGGUACCUGCAGAAUAAGCACCGGCUAACUACGUG
RNAcentral lists this ribosomal RNA (490 nucleotides) under uncultured bacterium. Its description in RNAcentral is "bacterial SSU rRNA". It matches the Rfam family "Bacterial small subunit ribosomal RNA", at positions 29 to 507 of the family's 1533-position model. The record is from RNAcentral.